Molecule: long non-coding RNA, 362 nt
Organism: Mesocricetus auratus (golden hamster)
Lineage: Eukaryota; Metazoa; Chordata; Mammalia; Rodentia; Cricetidae
Exons: 4
Source: RefSeq, a predicted model, not a curated record
GAACUGAGUAUGAACUCAGACCCCCAUCUCUAACUCGGGAGAUCAUGCUGGGCCAGCUCUCAGCGUCUGCAGUCUUCAUGUGAAGUGGGGAUGGGGGCUUCCAAUACCUGUAUGACAGAGGAUUCAUUUUCCUGUUUAUUAUGAAGAAUGCAGAUUCAGGACAGCAAGAUGGAAAAGGUGCAAUGGGCAGGUUAAGAAACUGAGGAUUCCAGUAGGCACCUAACCUGGCCAAGGUUUCACUACUAUUCGGUCUCUCAUUGGCUGGCCAGUGAACUCCAGAGAUCCAUGUGUGUUUACCUCCCCAGGGCUAGAAAUACAACACGUGACAACACACCUAUCGAUUUUACAUGGGUGCUGUGGAU